Cryptomeria japonica (Japanese cedar) is the source of this 4188-nucleotide long non-coding RNA. RefSeq lists it as uncharacterized. The transcript has 5 exons. NCBI's taxonomy places the organism in Eukaryota, Viridiplantae, Streptophyta, Pinopsida, Cupressales, Cupressaceae. The record is from RefSeq and is a predicted model, not a curated record.
AUUCAGGUGAAUGCAAAGAAUUAGGUGAAACUGGAAGAACCUUCUCUUAUCAUGGAUAUAUGGGCAUUAUUUUGGAAGAGGGAUACAAAAUAUUAAAAACUUACUUGGAGGUUCGAUUAAAAAAAAAAAAAAAAGAUAGGAGCUUAGAAUAUUAUUGCAUUCUCUCUUUGAACAUAGCGACAACUAUUCUGAAAAGAAAAUAGCACUCCUUGUGGAAGCUUUAAGAGUUCACAGAGCUGAAGAACUAUGCAAGGAAGCCAUAACCAGUGACCUCUCUCUCUUCAUUAUCCAGGUCAUGUUAAUUUUAUAAAACUAGUAAGCUUUGUGUAUACAUUUUUUCUUUCUUACUGAGUCUGUAUUAAGAAGAGAUGAACAUAGAGAAAAUGCAUAAGGAAAAUUACAGAAUGGUUGUAGCUUAUGUAAAUAAUAAGAAAAUAUUUGGCUGUGGGUUUACUGUAUAGCUAUGUAUAUAUAGUAUGGUUUUAUAUUUACAAUAUAGUUGUGUAUUACAGUAGGGAUUGUGUAAUUUCAGUAUGGCAGAAAUUAGUUCUUCAAUGAAAUGGAAAGAUCCAUAGGGUUUAGUUAAAUCAAGAAACUAUGAAUGGAAAAUUAUCCAACAGCAGGGUUAUGCUACAAUAUAUAUAUAUGAGAGUGGAUUAUUAUAGCCUAGAAAUUGAGCUUAGCUGAUAAGGAAAAAACAGAAUAAAACUACUCAGAUUUGAGGAUAAACAUAUCCAGGAAAAAAUUGUAUUAUGAAUAAUUCCUUUUCCUUAUUCAAUCUGUAUCAGUAUAAUCCAAAUCUGAGAAAUACUAUGGUUGUGAGGCUAAUUAUCCAAUCGUGAUUAAUCUUCACUAGCAUGUGAUUGAAAAUAAACCCUAGCUUAGGAAAGGAAAAUGGGAAAGAGCAGAUCAACAACACCCGUAAUGCAAUUAACAUUUCAAAUAUAAUCUAAAAUACAUUAAGAUAUUGUAAUGACAACGGAGACAUGUCAUGCAUGAUUUUCAUUCAAAAUUAAAGAUUACAUGGGAAGUUGGUGGCUCUUAAGCCAUUUUACCUUUCCUAAUCUAGGGGUUACUUAUAUUUUUAAUAUUUUCUACAAUGAUUUAUGAGAAGAUUAAAAUAGAAACCUCAUAUGAGAAUAUAACUCAGAAAAUAAAUGAAGUUCAUGGAAGAUGACUAAGACAUGUAAGUCAAAUCCACAGAAGGGCCAAGAGUGAAACAUAACACUAGUAGCAUCUCUAAAAUUAAUUCUACUGUUAGAUGAUUAUUUCAAAAAAUUAUAUCAGUUCUAAAGCUCACAGAGCCAGAGUUAACUAGGAAGAAACUUUUACUUAUGGAUAAUACUUAAUCAAACCUUUGUAUGAAAAGAGUUAGAUAGACAUAAGGGAACUUGGUGGUGUUCCUUAAAAUACAAAUGAUUAAUAUUAAGCUUUUCGAAAGGGAACAAUAACAAAUCUAAAUCAUAAUUCAUGUUGAAUAUAGAAACAUGGUAGUAACAAGAGGAUUAGAUACGGGUAUGUGCACAAAGAUGGUGGUAAGAAAAAGUGGACACCACCUAAAAAAAACAUGGAAAAACAAGCAGCGCAUACGUGAUAUUAAAAUUUGAAAUCACCGCGUACGUGCUUAGGUUCAUUGUUCCUGAGCCUAAAGAAAGAUACUGUGUAUGCGGUGUUUUUAGGAAAGUGAGUGCGUACGUGGAGUUUUUUAAGAAAGUGAGCGCGUACGUGGUGUUUUUUAGAAAAGUGAGUGCUUACACGGUUUUAAGUCCUAAAAACUGCGUGCACGGUACCUGUCAAAAAAAGUUUUAAAAAAAUGAUUGGGUCUUAUUUUCCCUAUGACCGUGGUGUUUUUUCCUCUAUUUUCUCCACGAAACCGCGAACGGGCUUCCACAUUUCUCCACCAAACAUUAUGGAUCAAGGUUAGUUUUGCUUUAUUUUUGUCUUUCUUUCUCAUUUAUUUAAUUUUUUUUACGUUUUGUAUUUAAUUUUGUUUAUUUUGAUUAGGUUUUUUAUUUUUUGUUUCAAAAACCAAAUUCUGAUAAUCCACAACAACAACAACAAGAUGCACCUCCUGAAAACCCCGAACAAAACCCACAAGGUACAUCUCUAGUUCCUCCUUUUGACCGUACACCUAAAACACAGGAGCAAUUGAUUAAUCAGUUAGGGCAAAACAUGUCUAAAAUAAAUAGAUUGAUUAAUAAAUUGAAAACAUCUAAGCUUGAGCAUCAUAAAUCCCUCGCCACUAGCCUAGAGACAUUAGCUAGUGGUGCCACAAUCGUUUCCACACAAAUUACAAAAUGGGGAAACUUUAGGGAUAUGUGUCGUUAAUACUAUGCUAGUGGGUUAUCAUACGAGAGAGUGAAAAACAAAAAUAUUAGUAAACAACAAAUAUGUGCCAUUUUUGUUGAUCCUAAAAUUGGUCAAUCAUUACCUCUUAAUGCAAAGAGGUUUCCCAUACAUUGGUGUACCAAUGUGCAGAUGAAGAAACUUUUUUGGUAGAGGUGGUGGAUGGUCUUUGAUGAUCCACCUUGUAAUAAUUAUGAGGUGCCAUUGUAUUUUUGAGAAAAUUAUACUAUGAGUUUGUCCUCAAUGUGCGGCCAAACUAUUUUGACAUGAUAGAGUUCCAUGGUAAAGGUUGUGGCUCUGCCCAAGCUAGAGCUGGAGCCCGUAGGUGAUUAGCCCCGGAGAGUCGUCACCCCCUAGCACCCAAACCGAAGGUGCAUUAGGUUGUCCCAGUAGAGUUGAAAGAGUCGAUGCAGCUAUAUACUCUUCAGACAGCCACAACAUUUACUGGUGCCAUCAUCUAGCAUGGGACACAGUUAACACACCCUCUUGUGCUGGAUGAUGAGCCAUUGGUUUCUCCAGGUGGCGACAAAGAGCCCAUUCAACAUGUGUGUGUCAGGUGCUCGGGGAAAUGCAUAGGGACAGAUGAUGAGGCUGUUGUAGAUGGAUCCACAUCUCAUUCGUGCACGAUUUUUAAGAGUAGAUGUCAGACCCGCAUGACUAAGGAUGUGGCGCUGAUAAAGGAGUCGAUGGACAUGUUGUUUGGCCAUCAGCCGCAAACACAAGUGAGUUGAUUUGAAUUCAUAGCAUUUUAUCAAUCAGUCACUUUAAAUUUGUAAUUACAUAAAUGAAUUUUCAUUUAUACAUCGAUUUAAAUUAAUACAAAUAAUAUGCAUUUUAGGAUGCAGCAACGGUAUCCCAUACUACUCACGCAGUUACUAUAGCUACAACUUCGACGCCUGAGGUAUAAAUUUUGUAACAUGUUAAAAUAGAAUAAUACACUUUGAAUUCAAAAAAAAAAACAAGAUAUACUAACUAUCAUUAAUGCUUGGUCCAAUUUUUGGUUUGUAGGUGUUGACAAGGGACCAAAUGUCCUAGAUUAAUGACAUCAUGCUCUCAGCGAUCGAUUUUGGCUUACAAGGCUAUACGGGUACCCCCUUCGUGUCUAGGCCUCGUCCUAAGCAAAAGAAUUCCUCGAAGAUGCCAAAAUGUGGGAAGAAACCAUUGAGCUAUGUGGAUUUGUUGAAUGCACCUGAUUCGCUCAUGGAUCGAGAGAGGGCAGAGGUAUGUAUCUCUACUUUAUUUUCUUGAUAUCAUGAUUAUAUGCACGUGUAAAUGUGAACUUGUGAUAAAUUAUAAUCUUAUAAUUUUUUCAUACAAGAAAUAUCCAUACCUGCUUCAUUAAUGACAAGCCCUCCUCCGUGCACUGGAGAAGCAUCUCAAGAUCCGAUACACUUUUGUUUGAUAUAUUACAUUAAUUGUUUUUAACCCACAAUACUUAUCAUUAUAUUAAUUGUAUUUAAUUUUUGAUCAUUUUUUGUAUAAGUAAUAGCGAUAGUUUCUCCAUCGACGGUGAGCCAUUCUCAAUCCAUUGGAGAAGCAUCUCAGGCACCGCCCCCUUCGCAGUUCGACCAUAAUGUGGAUCCUUUUAAGUUUGUCUUCAAGAAAAUUCCUAAGACUGACAAGGAGAGGAAAGCGAAGACAUUAGAUCUAAGAUCAGUCAAUGAGCCAUCUACAGAGCCGUGUACUGCAUCAAAGAAGCUCGAUUUUGAUGAUCCACCACAAGUUUAGGAUCAUAUAGUGUUAGUUGUGGUCAUAGAAUGACCAAUACAUGUAGAUAUAUUCUACAUUUUUAUUGUAUAUCGAUUUGGACAUGUCAUAUGCCACACUUUUGUAAUACUUGUA